Molecule: ribosomal RNA, 268 nt
Filed under: uncultured bacterium
Lineage: Bacteria
Description: partial 16S ribosomal RNA
Rfam family: Bacterial small subunit ribosomal RNA
Source: RNAcentral
UACGGAGGGGGGCUAGCGUUGUUCGGAAUUACUGGGCGUAAAAGCGCACGUAGGCGGCUUUUGUAAGUUAGAGGUGAAAAGCCCCAGGGGCUCAACCCUGGAAUUGCCUUUUAAGACUGCAUCGCUAGAAUUGUGGAGAGGUAAGUGGAAUUCCGAGUGUAGAGGGUGAAAAUUCGUAGAUAUUCGGAAAGAACACCAGUGGCGAAGGGCGACUUACUGGACACAUAUUGACGCUGAGGUGCGAAAAGCGUGGGGGGAGCAAACAGGG